AAAGAAAUUCAUUUUUGUGGUUGUUCUUUUACUAUUAUUUUUAACUUUUAAUUAUUCAGAAAAAGCAAACAAUAAGAAAGAGCAAAGUAGAGAAAGAAUCUGGAAUGAGGAAAGAGAAAACAAGAGUCUGGAAGAAAGAAACGUUCCUGAAACGGAUAAUUUGGAAUGUCUAAUUUCUACAUUUUAUUGACGCUUUCUUCAUCUUCUUUUGUACAACCAUUAAAGAUGCAGGGAGGGAGGUGUAUCUAUCACAGUUUUUUAAUUCAUUUUUCUUUCAAUGAUUUAGGACACUUUUUCAAUUCACUUUUCUUCCAAUGAUGUAGGGUGGAGGUGUAGGGGUUUAGGAAAAUUUGGGACUUUAAAAAAAUUAAAUAAAAUUAAAUCGUAAAAAUUAAAUUAAAGUAGAAUAUUUUUAGAAUAAAAAGUAAUAAUGAAAAGGUACAAGAGUAUUAGAGUGAUGAAGGAAGGAAGAAGAAAGAACAAAGUGACGAAAGUAAGAGGAAGAAGGGGAUUUAAAAAAAUGUUUUGGGGAAGAGGGAGAUAACUCUAAAAAUAAAAAUGUAAAAAGGUUAAAAAGGUAAAACAAAAAGAUAUUUUUGUAAUUGAAAAAAAAUUAGAGAAAGUUGAGGAGGUGGAGGGAGGAAAUGAGGGAGGUGGAGGGAGCAACUCCCUUGUGGACAUCAGCCAAACCUAUAACUGGCCUAAUUUCAACGCAGUAGACCAAUUUCAACAUCUCUGGUCCAAUAUAUAAAAAGCCUAAUUAACCAGGGGCCAUUUUGCAAAAUAGAAAAAUCUAAGAACAGGGACCAAUGAAACAGAUGAGAAAAGGUUAUUCAACAAUUAAAAAAAUUUAAAAUCCAUUUAAACAAAACUAAAAAAACAAAAAAGAUUAAUUUCCUAAUUAUUUAGAAACUCUACAAAAUACACCUAAAAACCUAUUUUUAACUAAAAUUUCAUAAAACCUAAGAUUUAAUAGAAAAACCUAAAACUAAUCUAAUUC
Molecule: long non-coding RNA, 1000 nt
Filed under: Vigna radiata
Lineage: Eukaryota; Viridiplantae; Streptophyta; Magnoliopsida; Fabales; Fabaceae
Description: long non-coding RNA (VRAD_LNC013674)
Source: RNAcentral